CACCUAGAAAGGUCUCUAGUACCCUAGGGAGAUUCUGUGAAUAUUUAUAAAAGAGGUAAUGUCAGUUUAUCUAACAAAACCUAAAUCCGAGUGUCCUAAAGGAGUGGAGCCUCUCUGUGUGUACUGGGAGUGAGUAACGAGGAGACAGGUGAUGAUUCAAAGUCAAGCAAACCCACUUUCUCCUGGUGGUCAGUGCUGAGUAAGCAUGCUCCAGCCCCCUCCCACUGCUCUCCUGUUUAGUUAGAGGCUCCCAAAGAGGGCCAACAGCUGCGAGGCUCUUCAUUAGAGCCUUGAAAUUUGAAACAACAGAUCAAAGUCUGAGGAGCCAUAUUGAGCUGUGGGGAACGCUUGCUCGCUGACUGAGGUCAGGAAAGGUCCAAACCCCUAGCAUUCCAGGGCUUUGGGCUAGUCCCCUGCCACUGUGGAGGAGGGGGCUGCAGCCGUGGGUGCGAGGCCACACGAGGUGCGUGGCAGAGUCGUGGAACCAAAGAGGGCUGUGUCCAGAGAGGAUAACAGUGACAAAUAUUUUUGCUGGCUGCAUUAAAGAAGAUACCGAAGAACAUCAUCCAAGAGGUUCUUUUGAACACUGUGAGAAAACUGAAGUGUCUGAAAGCAUGACUGACUGAAGCAGUGGCGAGAAGAAGGCAUCUAUGUUUUUGUAACUGCUGAUGGCCAUGACUCCAUACUGUCAAAAGGGGAUCUUCCCAACCCAGGGAUUGAAGCCAAGUCUCCUGCAUCUCCUGCAGUGGCAGGUGGAUUCGUCACCACUGCUCCACCUGGGAAGCCCUUCUGCUUCACAGACAGGUUCAUUGGUCAUAUUUUAGAUUGCUCAAAACAUGAACAAGGCUUCCUAAGGCCCACCUGACUUCACACUCCAGAAUGUCUGGCUCUAGGGUUGACUCUUGGGACUUCAUGGACUGUGGCCCGCCAGGCUCCUCUGUCCAUGGGAUUCUCCAGGCAAGAAUACUGGAGUGGGUUGCCAUUCCCUUUUCCAGAGGAUCUUCCUGACCCAGGGAUUCGACUGUGGUCUCCUGCAUUGCAGGAGGACUCUUUACCAUUUGAACCACCAGGGAAGUCGCACUGGUUUCUCUGGAGUAAACCAAGCCCUCUUGUGUCACAGGACUUGAGCAACUGCUGUUCCUUUUGACCCAAAUGUUCCUUCAGCAAUGUCAAUAGCUGGCUCCUCCUUCUUUUUAAAUGUAUUUAUUUACUUAGCUGAGUUGAGUCUUAGUUGUGGCAUAUGGGAUCUAGUUUCUGACCAGGGACUGAACUCAGGCCGCCUACAUUAGGAGUUUGGAGUCCCAGCCACUGGGUCACCAGGG
Molecule: long non-coding RNA, 1322 nt
Organism: Bos taurus (domestic cattle)
Lineage: Eukaryota; Metazoa; Chordata; Mammalia; Artiodactyla; Bovidae
Source: Ensembl